GAGUUUGAUCCUGGCUCAGAAUGAACGCUGGCGGCAGGCCUAACACAUGCAAGUCGAACGGAGUUAUAUUGUAGCUUGCUAUGGUAUAACUUAGUGGCAGACGGGUGAGUAAUGUAUAGGAAUCUACCUAGUAGUACGGAAUAAUUGUUGGAAACGGCAACUAAUACCGUAUACGCCCUACGGGGGAAAAAUUUAUUGCUAUUAGAUGAGCCUAUAUUAGAUUAGUUAGUUGGUGAGGUAAAGGCUUACCAAGACAAUGAUCUAUAGCUGAUCUGAGAGGAUGAUCAGCCACACUGGAACUGAGAUACGGUCCAGACUCCUACGGGAGGCAGCAGUGGGGAAUAUUGGACAAUGGGCGAAAGCCUGAUCCAGCCAUGCCGCAUGAGUGAAGAAGGCCUUCGGGUUGUAAAGCUCUUUUAGUGAGGAAGAUAAUGACGGUACUCACAGAAGAAGUCCUGGCUAACUCCGUGCCAGCAGCCGCGGUAAUACGGAGAGGGCUAGCGUUAUUCGGAAUCAUUGGGCGUAAAGGGCGCGUAGGCGGGUUAGUAAGUUAAAAGUGAAAUCCCAAGGCUCAACCUUGGAACUGCUUUUAAAACUGCUAGUCUAGAGAUUGAAAGAGGAUAGAGGAAUUCCUAGUGUAGAGAUGAAAUUCGUAAAUAUUAGGAGGAACACCAGUGGCGAAGGCGUCUAUCUGGUUCAAAUCUGACGCUGANGCGCGAAGGCGUGGGGAGCAAACAGGAUUAGAUACCC
This 750-nucleotide ribosomal RNA is filed under the name uncultured Hyphomicrobiales bacterium. Its description in RNAcentral is "bacterial SSU rRNA". It matches the Rfam family "Bacterial small subunit ribosomal RNA", at positions 9 to 787 of the family's 1533-position model. Lineage: Bacteria; Pseudomonadati; Pseudomonadota; Alphaproteobacteria; Hyphomicrobiales. The record is from RNAcentral.